This is a long non-coding RNA of Bacillus rossius redtenbacheri, 1360 nucleotides long. RefSeq lists it as uncharacterized. NCBI's taxonomy places the organism in Eukaryota, Metazoa, Arthropoda, Insecta, Phasmatodea, Bacillidae. The record is from RefSeq and is a predicted model, not a curated record. The transcript has 2 exons.
CCUCGACCACGCGAGGUGCUCGGCUCUCUGGAGGUCAGGGCUUCGACCCCAUCCAGCUCCCACGAAAAGACGUGCUUGCCGGCUACGAGGAGGGGCGGUGACCCGUGACGCCGUCUCGCGGCCAGAGGACCAGGGGUCGCAUCACUGUUCCGUGGUUUUGCCCCGCAAUCACUCCUCACGAUUGCAGGGAUGAUUCCUCCCCCAAAUGUCCCUCAGUCUGUGUUCUUCCGGAUCACUGGUCCUCGAUAUGGACCUAGCUGUCGAGACGCCAGUCCCUAAAGAAGCACUUGAACUUCCUAGUGGACAGUGUGGUCACCAGGAUGUACUGCGGAGUGGACGAGGGGCGGAGGGUCACGAGGCGGGGCUGCUGUCGACGAUGCACACGCUGCUGCCGGCGCACGAGGGCAGGCCGGGGUCUCGCCGCUGCAGGGAGAGGCUCCUCUUCAGGUCCGCCGGCAGCCGGGAGGUGGCCGCCGCUAUCCCUGCCGGAGGGAGAAGCAACAGUCACGGCUAGACACGGCUGGAAAACAAGGGGGUCGUUAUUCCUGCCGCACAUUCAGUAACAUGCCUGGAGCAAGCCCGUCAUGAUGGGAGGAUGCAGUCACCCUGGAGAGCUAAGAGGCUGGUUUUCUGGGUGACUGAGGACUCCCAGGACAUGCGAGACUCAAAAAUGUUUGAAUGCCCUUUUCUAAACGAUACUAAAAAAAUAAUAUGUAAAGUAUUUUUUUGCAAAAGUUAAAAAAAAAAAAUAGAAACCUGGAGCAAGAAUAAUUGUGAUUUAAAAACGGUUAUUGUAUUCAAGAGUUAGAAAUUCCAAUGGAAUCGCAGACCAUCCAACCAAGAGUGCACUUCGAAUAAACCAAAAACUUAUUUGCAGUCGCGGACAGCUGGGUAUUCUAAGACCACCCGUGCCGAGUACGAACACCGUGUUCUGUUGUACACAGUGUAAACCAACUGUUUCGCUGCAGUCACGGACAGAAGGAUAUUCGAAGAGCCCUGCCGGAGUUCGAAUGCCAUGUUCUGUUGUAAAAACCAAGCUCCUAGCUCCUAGCUUCUAGUUCCUGGCUCCUGGCUACUAGCUCCUAGCUUCUAGCUCCUAUCUCCUCUCUCCUAUAGCUCAUAUCUCUUCUCUCCUAUAGCUCCUAUCUCCUAGCUUCUAUCUCUAGCUCCUAGUGUCUAGCUUCUAGAUCUUACCUCCUAGCUCCUAACUCAGCGCUGGUCUCGACAGCAGCGCAUCACAGCUCGUAAUAUGUAACCAGGUUCCAAUAAGCCAGUUAAAAAUUGUUACAUUCACUAGUUGAGUAACUUUAAAAUUGCUGUUAAAAUUACUGCAGAUACAAAAUAAAGUUGAUCAAAAGCA